Molecule: transfer RNA, 77 nt
Filed under: Candidatus Wallbacteria bacterium
Lineage: Bacteria; Candidatus Walliibacteriota
Description: tRNA-Pro
Rfam family: tRNA
About the family: Transfer RNA (tRNA) molecules are approximately 80 nucleotides in length.
Source: RNAcentral
CGGCCAGUAGCGCAGCCUGGUAGCGCACCUGGUUUGGGACCAGGGGGCCGCCGGUUCAAAUCCGGCCUGGCCGACCA